AAGCCUGCAGAGAGAGAGGCAGGAUCUGUUCUUCAGCCUCAGUGGCAGCUGUUGAUCAGCCAUUGCCUCUCUCUUUCUCUCCC
This is a non-coding RNA of Myotis lucifugus (little brown bat), 83 nucleotides long. The record is from Rfam. Lineage: Eukaryota; Metazoa; Chordata; Mammalia; Chiroptera; Vespertilionidae.